UUUUUUUUUUUUUUUAAAGAACCGUGAUAAUGUAACACCUCUGGCUGUGAGGAGAAAAUAUGGGAGUAUAUUUAUUUGAAUGGAAGAAACAAAUACGUCUCUUUGGAGAAGAGAACAUUCCAUAGUACAUAGGGGAUCGUGUCCUUGCAAAGCUGUUGGGUUUGGGACACCAGAGCAGGAGAAUUUUGCUCCAGCCUGCAUCAGCCUGCCCUCAGCCUGCAAAACCACCUUUCCCUUUGCUCCACAGCCGGCCAAGGGCUGCGCUGUCUUGUGGAACGUUUUCAAAGUUUACAGAGCUAGCUGCAAAAUACAAUGUAGGAAAGUGGAUUUUUUUUUUAAUGGUUCAGAUUUUCUUUUUUAAAAUCUCAGUUUGGCUUCAAAUGGGGCAAAGAAGAAAUGUUAUUAAAUAUUAAGAAUGAAGAUAAACGAAACAGUAGAGAUUAAGACAGACUUGAGGUUUUCAUAAUAGCAGUGCCUUCCAUUGUGAGAAAUUUUGCCUUAUACCUUUUUAAUAUUCACGAAGAUGUUUAGGAAAAAAGGUACCAAAAAUUUGCCUUAAAAAAAAAAAAGCUUGGAUCUUAGCGAUAGCUGUGCUAUCUGGCACCUUGAUGAAGCUGCUCUCUUUUUGAAGCUCAGGUUUGCUCCCUAUCACCCUGGCGGCUGAACUCUGGCUUCGUAGCCCACUAACACUCCAGAAGCGAGUUCAUUCUCUGGUUUAAAAUCAACAAAUUGUCUCCUCUUCUGAUCCGGCAGCCUUCUCCGUCACAAGGCAACAUGCUAGGUGCCGAGCCACGUGGGAAGGACAAAGACUGAGCUGUGAAAAGAAGAAACAAGUCCUUAGCCUUUUAAAAUCAUGAGUUUUGCCCUCCCUGAAAUUUUUUUGGAAGUGGCUUUGAAUUGCAUUUUAAAAGAAAAGCCCUCCGUGGGUUUUCCCUUGAAACCGUCCCUCCAUGCACAGACAAGGCAGGUCCUGCCAAAUGGUGUUAUCACCCCAGUGUCAUCUAUUGCGAAAGCCUGACACUGCCACAGUUUUCAUCGUCAUUCUAAGUUUUGUGCCAAAUUGGACUUUCUUAGAAGCCCAGGCACUACUCAGCACAGUUCUGUCCCAUUCACCAUGGGCUUCUCGGCAAAAUGGGGGGAAAAAAGAAAGAAGAAAGAAAAAAAAAAAAAGCAGAGCUUUAGGUAAACAGUCGGAGGGGAGAAAAAAUGGCUUCCUUCCCCUGCCUUCGCGCUCCUGUUUAUACUACCUCCUUUUUAAAGUUAUUCUAGUGUUAUUGUUCUUUCCUGUACUCAGGGACUUUUUUGUUACUCUUGAGCUCAUGUUGCAUGGGCGGGUGCAUUGACAGGGUAUGGUGGUGUUUGGUUCGUAAGUAGAAGUACGUGGGCCAACUUCUCUCAGUAUCUAAAAUGAAGGGCACAAUGGGAUCACAAGUCAGAAGCAAACAGAUCGAAAAGGGGAAAGCAGGUUUAAGGCCAUGCAUAUUUAAACCGUGUUCCCUGCCUGGAUCAUCCGAAAGGCUGGGACAGGACAUUUCUGGAAGAACGUGCUCUGUUUAAUGAUAAAUAGGCCCUUAGUUAUGAUAGGUCUUUAGCUUAUAAUUAUUUACUAGUUCAUUUUUUGUUCUUAUACAGACUUUUCUGUCAAUUCUGUUACCAAAGAAUUUUCAGUAGACAGUAAAAUUUCUAUGAUAAGUACCUUAAAUCCAAUUCACUAGAAACAGAUAUAGACUCGAAUAUAAACAAUUUCUAACCCUAAUCUGAAGGGUUUAUAUUGAUAGUUAAAAUUAAUUAGGCUAGUGACAUAAACUACCUUACCGUCACCAGAGUUUAAAAUAAAUUUUAAUUUCCUUGCCAGCAUAUGGUUACAAACUCUUUAAACUGUAAGGUUUUUUUUUUCUCCAGCAAGUAACGAAACCUUCAACUCUAUAGUAUUAAUGUAUUUUCUAAUUGUUGAAAUUACUUGUUGGAGAGAAAAAAAUAAAUAUUACUACUAAUGUCAUGGACUAAAGUAUUUAAUGUUCAACAGAGGUUUUAGGCUUGGUGAAAGCCAGCCUCUCUGAAGUCUGAAGUACGAAAUUCCAACUAAAGUGUGAAGGUUAUCAUGUCUUCCUCGAGGUUUCAUUAUUCAUCGUAUUCAACUCCAAAUAAGCUGACAUGCAAAUUAGAAACUGUUUCAUUUUCCAAAAACGUAUUUGCUGGAAGCGGUGAUAACCUGGCUGCCUGUCAUUUUUUAAUGUCAAAUAUUACAAUAUACUGCUCAUCGGUAUUUUCAUACCAAAGACCAUUAAAAUAUAUAGUUUAGCCUGUAAGUAAAGAUGAGCAGGUUUAAAGUAAAUUUAUUUAGAAACAGAUAGGGAAUAUAGCUUUAGUGGCAAAAAGAAAAUAUCAAAAGGCUAAGUUUACAUAGUUAAAAGCAAUACAGUUAUAUUGGUAUUUAUCAGUGUUUUUUAUUCGAGUACUUUAUAUCAGCAAAUUAAAAAGAAAUUAAAAACCAAAGAUAUUUAAGGUUACCUCAGAAUAUAGGAAAGUUUAGCUGUACAUUGAACUGUUGUUUGUUGUUUUGUGUUAACAAACUGUCUCUCCAGAACCUCUCCUCUGUGCAGACAGCGUCCUGAGGAUUUAUUUCCAUGGUGUCUGCUCACUCAGUCUCAGGUGUGUUUUUACUACAUGGUGUGCUGCUUCCAUACAGCCUGUGAGGGUGAUAGGUCGGCAGAGAGAGCAUCAGGCUUGUCUGUAUUGUGGGAACCCCUACAUCAUUCUAAGUCGUCUGCAUUCCUAUGUAAAGUCCUUCUCUAGAUACUCAGACAGCUUGAGGAAACCAAAAGGUGCCACUGUUCGGACGGGCAGUGCUUUGGGUUCAAAUACGGUUCCUAAAUCAUAAGAUUUUCAUUGCGUCGAAAAGCUGGCUUUCGAUCUCAAGUGAAACCCUGUUAAAGUGCCAGGGGGUGAGAUGCUCCUGAUGUGUUUGUUAGAAGCUCUCUUGCCUUUACCUCAGACACGAGCAAUGGCAGCAAUGCAGCAGAGACUGGGGUACGCACUGCUGUCUCUCUUCUGCAGGACUUCUGCAAACAGCAUAAAAAAGGCUCAUAGCUGACCAGUCAGGAGCACCGCUUAAGUCCCCGCCAUUGGAAACAGUGCUUCCUGUCAUCGAAGGCUGGGGUGGUUCACUCCUGUCAUCAAUUGCAGCAGUCGGAGGAAGGGGGCAGCAUGCAUUUUAGGAAGUCAGAGCCUGCUGUAAUUCAUGGUUCGAUUCUGUACAUUUGCAUAUCAUCAGAUGUCCAUUUUGAAUACCAGAUGUGGAAAAAGAGUUUGAACUGUAUUGUAAAGAGCUGGUACCUGAAGCAACCAUGUAUUUUGCAAGAUUUUCUUCCUGAAAAUUUACUACAUGCAUCACUGAUAAAAUUGCUUUGGUAG
Molecule: long non-coding RNA, 3414 nt
Filed under: Mus musculus (house mouse)
Lineage: Eukaryota; Metazoa; Chordata; Mammalia; Rodentia; Muridae
Description: long non-coding RNA chr9:72912759-72916173
Source: RNAcentral